GAUGAAGAACGCAGCGAAAUGCGAUACUUGGUGUGAAUUGCAGAAUCCCGUGAACCAUCGAGUCUUUGAACGCAAGUUGCGCCCGAAGCCUCGGCUAAGGGCACGUCUGCCCGGGCGUCACGCAUCGCGUCUCCCCCAAACCGCCAAGGCGGAGGGGAAGGAAGAUGGCUUCCCGUGCCUCACCCGGGCGCGGUUGGCCUAAAUUUGGAGCCCGCGGCACUUAGCUCUCGCGGCGAUAGGUGGUGAACAAGGCCUUGGCCGUGCAAACAACCCGCUGCGAAGCUCUAUGUCACGUGCGCUCGUCGGACCCUUUGAAGUUGCCUUUGGUGACUUAAAACCUUUGCGACCCCAGGUCAGGCGGGGCUACCCGCUGAAUUUAAGCAUAUCAAUAAGCGGAGGA
Molecule: unclassified non-coding RNA, 400 nt
Filed under: soil metagenome
Description: partial contains 5.8S ribosomal RNA, internal transcribed spacer 2, and large subunit ribosomal RNA
Rfam family: 5.8S ribosomal RNA (bases 1-120)
Source: RNAcentral